Long non-coding RNA from Agrilus planipennis (emerald ash borer), 1623 nucleotides. RefSeq lists it as uncharacterized. The transcript is spliced from 3 exons. Lineage: Eukaryota; Metazoa; Arthropoda; Insecta; Coleoptera; Buprestidae. The record is from RefSeq and is a predicted model, not a curated record.
UAAUAGUAGUUUUUAAUUUACGGUUUACCUAUAAGCAAUUAUUUAACUGAGAAAUCUCAUUAAGAGUAAAUUGCGAUUAAGUUCCAAUUAAAAUUACAUCCCUGAACUCAAUAUCAGGAUAUUUAUUAGGGAGUGAAAGCAGUACUGUGCCAUGUACGUGUAGAUGCACGUAUGUAAAUGUAUUACAUUAUUUAAUAAAUGAAUAUCAUGAGCUAAUAUAACCAAGGAAGUUUAAUGAUGGCAGGGCGAUUGUCCGGCUGGAAGAACUUCCCAAUUCUUAAAGGAUCUCUCCUUGAAGCAGGACCGAAAGAUUUUCCGGCAGUACAAAGGCCUACUUCACUGGCGUGCUUAUGAUUUUUAGAGUAGGGUUUCGUUUUAAUAAGAUGGCAUACAAAAUAUGUAGGUAUUUAAAAUAAUAAAAAAUCGACGGACUUGUGUAUGUGAAACAACAAAGUAUUCGGUAAGUAACCUAACAUAACAAAAAAACUAAAUAUCUAAUGUAGUUGUAGAACAGCCCUAAGAUAUCUGGUAAGAAAAAUAAAGUUUAAAAAAUUGUCACAUUCCGUGCAACCCUGGACGAGCGCGGAUUCGUGCAGUAACAUGUGGUUUCUGUUGUAAUUUUUCAAGCACUAGAGCUAGAGAACUUAGAUUUCCACACAAUAUUAGCAGAAGUUUUUCACACUUUUAUGAAGGCCCUUUAGGAUUAAUCCACAUUUAAUAAUUUAAUGCAUGGCAUAAAAAAUGGAUAAUGAUUAUAGUCACAGAGGAUGUCAAAUCUCAAAAGCUGUUACCUGUACUAAUAAUUACAGAAGUAUUGGAUGUUAUUUGGACAGCUAUAGACAGCGGAGUGAGCGUUUUUGGAGGAUACAUGAACUUUUGUUCUGUUAAGUAUUCAUGGGGUGAGAUUGGCAAGUCGAUAUCCUUAAUCGUGAAAGGACCUUGACAGACAAUGCACUCACUACUAGUAGUCAAUCGGCAAAUGCUGUUUAAAUACAACAAGUAAAUUUGUUGGUGUUCUUCUAUUGGGGGUGUCUACCUGUGUGCUGAUGAGAUCCCAGGAUAUAAGAUUUUAAGGAUUUUGUGUUGAAUGUUUAAUCUCAUGUACCUAUGAUGUUUCUAAUUUUCCGGCCUCUCAACAAUUCUUGUAGGUAUAUUAGCUUAUUAGGGAAUUCCCAAAAGAUUAAUAAAAACUGUAAGCUUUCUGGAUUAAUGAAUUUCACUGUGUUACAUGUGAGCUUUUUGUGGAACAUUUUUUAAAUAUGCACGUAAACAAUGGAAAAUUUUAAUUUUAAAGAAAAAUAUACCAAUCGGAUUAUUCAACUGAAUGACCUGCAGUUUUUGUGUCCCAUUCCACUCUGUAUAUAAAUAAUUUGGCAAUAUGUAAUCUGAUAUUAACACGAAAAUAGAGCUUUUUUCCCUGUGUUCAGGCAACCCAUUCGACGGGUGCCAAUUGUGUAUUCAUUUACCAGGACAUUAAAAAAGUCCCUACAUACACACAUUUUGAAAUUAUUUAUAAUUACAAAAAACAAAAAAAAAUAUUUUUAAGAUUAUGGAAAUGUAAUAGAUGGAUAUGCUGUAAUUGUGAAUUUUUUAGUAAAAUUUAAUAUCUACAUGUGUUGAACA